GUAACAGUGCUAGUGUAAAACUAGAACUAACAUAAAUCUGUAAAGUUAACUAUGGUUAAGUUACAUUAGAUGCAGAGAGUUAAAUUAUUAAUAAGUUUAGAAAUUUUAAUGCUUGGUAUAAAUUGUUGGAUUGAAUUUCCCUAUUGAAAAGUGGAUUGAAAUCGCUUUUGUCCUUGCAAAGAACAAAACUUUCAGCGAAAUAUAACUAAUGACUUAAAUGCAACCAAACUAUUCAAAGACUAGUUUAAAUUUAUAGUGUAGUUCUAUUUAUGUUAAGUCUCGAGAUUGCACAAUUUAAUUUUAGUAAAUUUAAUUUAAUUGAUUGAAUCUCAACAUGUGGUCAACUUUGUUAAACUUCUCAAUUUACUAGUCACUUCUAAAGUUUCGUCAAUUUGAUUGCAAAUGUGGACAAUCUAGCCGAUUGGCCCUUCCCGGAAGAAGGGUUUCUGGACUAUAAAAGAUGCGUAUACCUCUUGGCCUACAUCACUGUUACAUCGACAACCAAACUGUAUAGUUACAAAAUUCUAUAUCAAAUUUAAAAAGAAAAUUUAGUGGCAAGAUUUUUCGCGUAGAGAAUUUAACGAUGCAUCGAUUCGUUAUGAUUCUGGUUGUUUUGGUUGCUUUGGAAUUGGCCACAGCCCAAUUUAAUUAUUCACCAGAUUGGGGUAAAAGAAGCCAGGGUAAUUUUCCGGUGAAUAAUUGUAAACCUUCAAUGGACGCUGCUCUCGUUGUUUAUAAAAUUAUUCAGACUGAAGCUCAAAAGUUGAUUGAAUGCGACAAAGGCGUUAAUUAGUUGGUGAAUUUCAAAUGUUCUCGUACAAUUAAAUAAAAUUGAUAAAUAUGCAAAA
Long non-coding RNA from Onthophagus taurus, 848 nucleotides. RefSeq lists it as uncharacterized. The record is from RefSeq and is a predicted model, not a curated record. NCBI's taxonomy places the organism in Eukaryota, Metazoa, Arthropoda, Insecta, Coleoptera, Scarabaeidae.